GCCAGGUAUGGUAGCAUGGGCCAGUAGUCCCAGCUAAUUGGGAAGCUGAGGUAGAAGAAUCACUAGAGCCCAGGCAUUUUGGACUGCUGUGCACUUUGGCAACUUGGUGUCCACACGAAGUUUGGCAUUAAUAUGGUGACCUCCUGGGAGAAAAGGACCACCAGGUUGUCUAAGGAGAGGUAAGCUAGCCCAAGUUGCAAACACGGUGGGUUAAAACUCCCAUGCUGAUUAGAGUGGCAUCAUGCCUGUGAGUAGUCAUAAUGAGACCUCACCUCCUAAAAAAAUAAUACCAU
This is an unclassified non-coding RNA of Colobus angolensis palliatus, 293 nucleotides long. It matches the Rfam family "Metazoan signal recognition particle RNA". From Rfam's summary of the family: The signal recognition particle (SRP) is a universally conserved ribonucleoprotein. The record is from Ensembl. Lineage: Eukaryota; Metazoa; Chordata; Mammalia; Primates; Cercopithecidae.